UUUGACGCUUUAAUUUUGUUAUAGACUUUUGGGGAUGGAACAUGCAAGCCGAACCGAGAGUUGGGACCGAGAAUCAACCGAUGCCACGUGUCAUUUUUUAAUUGGCACAUACAAAAUAUUUUAAAAAAGAAAAUUCAGAUUUAUUGUCUCUCGACUCUCUCCCUCCCUCUCGGCUGAAUCUACAGGUCUAAUUCCUUUCUUCGCACGCCUCCCUCCCCCCCUGAAACUGCAAAACCGAACUUAUGAAGAGCUCCACUUCCAUUUUUUGCAAAAACUGGUCGGCAGAGUUCCAUUUCCGGCGUGGACAUGAAUUUUCUAUGAAUAUGAUUCUGACAGUCCCAUAUUCGGAAUGAUAACUUUGUUCCUUGAUUGUUGCUUCUGCUGUGCAAUACCAUGGCCCAGAUUCUGUGAAUAGAGUUUUGCAAAAAUGGUGCUAAUAUGACGUCUUUCUCGUUGAAAUAUUCCAGGAAGAGGAAGUCGCGUACGGGACGAGUCUGGGACGUUGACACUGACUAUUUGGAACCAAAAUAAAUUUUUCCCUAUGUUUCUUUCUUUUUCAUUUCACUUUCUACCAUUCGAAACGUGUAGUUGUUGUAAUUGAUUUGAGUUACCUGGUAUUUACUACCAUGUAAAGAUAAUAACGUGCGGUUGUUGUCGUCA
Long non-coding RNA from Carya illinoinensis, 660 nucleotides. RefSeq lists it as uncharacterized. The transcript is spliced from 2 exons. Lineage: Eukaryota; Viridiplantae; Streptophyta; Magnoliopsida; Fagales; Juglandaceae. The record is from RefSeq and is a predicted model, not a curated record.